This is a long non-coding RNA of Octopus sinensis (East Asian common octopus), 425 nucleotides long. RefSeq lists it as uncharacterized. The transcript has 3 exons. Lineage: Eukaryota; Metazoa; Mollusca; Cephalopoda; Octopoda; Octopodidae. The record is from RefSeq and is a predicted model, not a curated record.
CAAUGUGGAUAAAAAAGCAUUAAUUUGGUCAGAAGAAAGUGAAUACUAAAGGAUUAAAAUGGGUCUUGGGGCAAUUUUGAAGAAGUUACUUCGUCUAAUGUGGUCAAGGAAACAAGAAUCAUCAAAUGCAGUGGUAGAAAUGGGAAAUUAAUAAACAUGUUAGAUAGACUUGUGAACUCCCUUUUAUGGUAGAAAGGUGUGUAUAUACGAGAAAACCUCGGAAGUAUAAUCGAGAAGAUAAUGAGUUCUAUAUAUCAUUCAUUGUUACUGAAAAAUCCAAGUGGGCAGACAGACCUGACAAAACUUUAAUUCCAGAAAAUAUUCCAAAGUGUAGAAAACACUCUGAAAACAGAAAGCUAACUAAUGUUAUUCACAUCAACACUUUAUAAAUGAACAAAAUCACUUUUUUUUUUUUACUCCACUUU